UUGCAUUGUUUAUAGUAAAUUCAAGUUGUUUUUGUUUUUGUUAUUGUUGUUGUUUAUCUGUGUAGUAUUGUUUUGGUAGGAUAAAAAGAGAGCCAUGAAAUCAGCAAUGUGGACGUAAUCUGGAGAAACAUGAUUACUCAUCGUAUAACUUUAAGCAACUUGCUUUACUUCUCUAGGUCUCCAUUUCACCUAUAAAAUUGAGAUAACAAUGCCUAUGGUUGAGCUGUUGUGAGGAUUAUAAGAUGACGUGUACAAAGUGCUUAGAACGAUUCUAUACUCACUAUCCGGAGGCUUACAGAAAAGUCGGGAACAUGAGCCACUGCUUCUCUGCUGUCUCCUUGUGUCCCCAGCACCAGCUGAGGCUGUGUGGGAAGCUCCUUUACCAACUCAACCUUAACAGGAUGUAAUGAUGAUGGUAUUGUGGUCCUGCUUAGACACUUUUCAGAACCAUUAGAGUUGAUCUUUAUGGCACUCAUCUGGGAACUCUGCCUUGACUUUACAGACAGGGUGGGGAAGAAUCUGGCCCUGGAAACCAUGGAUCCCCCCUUGUGAUCUACAGUCUUUUCUACUCAUUUCUUAAUUCCC
This 585-nucleotide long non-coding RNA is filed under the name Macaca mulatta (Rhesus monkey). RNAcentral describes it as "lncRNA (ENSMMUG00000052925.1)". The record is from RNAcentral. Lineage: Eukaryota; Metazoa; Chordata; Mammalia; Primates; Cercopithecidae.